This is a long non-coding RNA of Dromaius novaehollandiae (emu), 2920 nucleotides long. RefSeq lists it as uncharacterized. The transcript has 6 exons. NCBI's taxonomy places the organism in Eukaryota, Metazoa, Chordata, Aves, Casuariiformes, Dromaiidae. The record is from RefSeq and is a predicted model, not a curated record.
AGAGCCGGCAAAGGGCGGCAGCGCUGAGGGGUGGGGGACGCGUGGGGGGUGCUGCCCGCCCGUCUGCGGGGGCCUGCGGCUGGUGGAGGAGCGGGAGGCAGCAGAGGCCGAUACAGAGCGAGCAGCGCCCGCAGCCUCCUGCACCAGCUGUUGCCUCCGCGAAGGAUUUGGGCGAGAACCAGCAAGAACCAAUGAUGCUGCAUUGCAAAGCUGGUUGGAGGAUGAAUAACAGUGAAUACAAAACAUUUGAAAGCGGAAGGCAUCAUGUGCAGAGCUGUUUGCAACCCUGCCCUCCAGUGUUUGAAAGGAAAGAGGAGAUCUUUUACAUCAAGAAGCAGAUGAGGCCCAAUUCAUCCUUCUGGAAAUAAUGUCCAUAACCACACACUGCUGUCCUGUCUCUGCAAGAUAAAUUGUACUAAGGAGUCUCAGUAAGACUUGGUACUUUAUGAAAUGGCUGUGAGAAGAAUUUUUAGAGAUCUCUGAUGCCAAAAGAAGGGGUGUGUGUGUAUGUCUUCAUCAGAGAAUUGGAGAGAGCGUGAGGGAGAGAAAAUUCUGACCUCAGACCUGCCUCAUCACCCUGAUACUGCAUUAUGAUCUGGACCUGGCCAUCUCUGGGGCUGCCCUGCUUGCCUCGCUCGGGUACAGUGGCACUGAGCCCUGGCUGGUGAGAUCCUGCCCUGCUGGGGUGGGAGCAGCUCGGCUGCUGGCCCCAUCCCUGCGGGAGCAGCUGGCCCUUGCUGCUCCCUAGCAUCAAGCACCGCGGUUCUCAGCUCCUAACUGAACUUUAACUUGAAUAAAGUGGAUCAUCAGGAAGUUAAAGGAGCAGUGAAGGAAACCAAGGAGAUUCUGAAGCUAUGCUAAGUGAGACUGUUUCUGCCAAAUGAUAAAAAGUUGGACUGUUUGGAGUUAAAGUCAGAGGACCAUGUAAUAUUCUCUCAGUUCAAGACUGAAAAUUGUCUGAAGACAUUGAAAUCUGGGGAGUGGAAAAUAGAUUUUUGGGGAGGAGGAGGAAAAAUUCUAGUAAACUUCUGGAAGAGGUGUGAUUUGUUUCCCUGGUUUAAUUACAGUGAUUUAUAAGCAGAUUUAGAUGUCAUUCGUAAGUAGGUUCAAACUGAAGCUAUUUAAGCAAGCAGGAGAGAGUGUUGGUAGCAGGAAUGAAGAAUCUCUCUUUUGAGACAUUGUUGAGAGGCCUUUGUGAAUAUGAACAAUUACAACAAAAUAAAAGCUGUAGUCUGGCAUGUUUUAUUGGGGGUACCUCCAGGCCUUAAGCUUCAGUUUCUCCCUUGUUUUAUCUGUGAGCCAGUUGUCCACGCAGAACAUGACAGUUAAUUAUGCCUCUCUGUUUCCCUCUGACAAACAAAGCACAGGUAAUGCCAGCAGGGAUUAAACUGUUUGCUUUUGGUUUACAAGGAAUUACAGAGUGUGUGCAGUAAAUUUUUCCCAUAAAGGUCUUUCCUUAAGCAGUAGACUGGGGAAAUAAUAUUAGCAGCUAACACUGUGGACGCAGAGCUUGGUUCAACAACCUUUAAAUAAAAGGCCAAUAUGUCUUUCCCUCCAGAUGGGCUUCAGUCAGUCUACGUGGGUGCCAACAGCAGAUGUGAGCACGUGGUACCCAUGCUUCCUGCCAGCCAAGCGCGUGCACAGCCAGGCUUACAGCCCCAGGAGGGUUCAUUAGCCAGGUCCAGUGCUGCAUUAACCACAACUUAGAGCUUCAAGUUCAGAGUCCAUUUACAUUUGCCUGGCUCUCAGUGCAGGCAGGACAAGGCACACACUGCAGUGGGACUCUGAAUUCAGGACGAUUCAGAGAUGGACAUAUUCCCCGUAACUGUCUCUUGCUUGACUUAGCCGAUUUCCCUCCUGUCCAAAUGCUCUUUUCUUUGUAUAUAACAAGACCUGUCAUGUUCAGAAGUGGUAGGUCUCAGUGAGAAGGCUGAGGACUCAACAAAUGGAGCAGAAUAUUAACCUGUCUGCAGCUGGCUCAAAUCUGGCAGACACUAGAAGUGCCAUAUAUAGGUUUGAUCUCAAAGUGAAUAUCUCAUCUAAACUCUAAGUCAGGCCAAUAGUAAGUUAGUGUACUGUGUUGGCUCUCUUGUAGGCAGCUCUGCUGCUGUUUGUGCAAGGCUAAGGCUGCCUGGGACGCAGGAAAUCACUGCUGAUUUGGAUUUCUUGACAGUUUUAGGAACAGGGUCCUGGAAUUAACCUGGCCUGGGUGCUAAGAGCCUCUCCUUCCAAGAAGAGCUGGCUCAAUUCCAGCACAAGGCUGUGCUGAACAGGCUCCAGUGUCCUUUCCUACAAGCAAAGCAAAAACUUCUCUGCCCUACAUUGGGUCCAUGGCAGGAACAGCCCAGGAGAAAUGGGGACUAGAGGUGCUGGAGGGAACUUGGUAGAAGUUAAAAGCUCAGAAGCUUAACAAAUGAUCAAAAGAUGGCUUACUUGAAGUGACAAGGUCUAGGAAGAGAGAUGAAAGGGGGCUGAAAAAGUGGGGCAUGUGGCGGAGUACUUAAAUGAUAGGCUUGGGCUGUAAAAACUCAAGAUAGUUCUGUUUUCAGGCAUUUACUGUGAUGUGUGGAAGUCCAAAAAUCUACUCGACCUUUUUAGGAUCAAUCACAGAAAAGCCACAAGGAGGAGAUGGCAAGGGGGAAGAUUGUUAAUGCUUCAGAUUUUCUGUGGAAAACCAAGCAUCAGUGGCCGAAAACAUUACAUGAACGUUACUGAAGAAAAAAAUCCAUAAAGGAUACACAGAUACAGAUUCUAGCUCGAGAAGUCUAUAAUCCAGAGAUGCCUGGAGCCUGGGAGAAUGCACCAGGCAAAAUAUCAUUGUGUGCUUGCCCUUUUCUUUCACGUUGGCUGUGUACCUACACACUCCGGGGAAUUCUUCUCGUGCACGUUCUGUGAAUAAAGAGUCUUUAGCUUCAAACUU